This 253-nucleotide ribosomal RNA is filed under the name uncultured bacterium. Its description in RNAcentral is "partial 16S ribosomal RNA". It matches the Rfam family "Bacterial small subunit ribosomal RNA", at positions 524 to 776 of the family's 1533-position model. The record is from RNAcentral.
UACGUAGGUGGCAAGCGUUUUCCGGAUUUACUGGGCGUAAAGGGAGCGUAGGUGGAUAUUUAAGUGGGAUGUGAAAUACCCGGGCUUAACCUGGGUGCUGCAUUCCAAACUGGAUAUCUAGAGUGCAGGAGAGGAAAGGAGAAUUCCUAGUGUAGCGGUGAAAUGCGUAGAGAUUAGGAAGAAUACCAGUGGCGAAGGCGCCUUUCUGGACUGUAACUGACACUGAGGCUCGAAAGCGUGGGGAGCAAACAGG